CGUCAAAAAUGUAACAUCGUCCGAUCCCUAGUCGGCAUAGUUUAUGGUUAAGACUACGACGGUAUCUGAUCGUCUUCGAUCCCCUAACUUUCGUUCCUGAUUAAUGAAAACAUCCUUGGCAAAUGCUUUCGCAGUAGUUAGUCUUCAAUAAAUCCAAGAAUUUCACCUCUGACAAUUGAAUACUGAUGCCCCCGACUGUCCCUAUUAAUCAUUACGGCGGUCCUAGAAACCAACAAAAUAGAACCACACGUCCUAUUCUAUUAUUCCAUGCUAAUGUAUUCGAGCAUAGGCCUGCCUUGAGCACUCUAAUUUUUUCAAAGUAAAAGUCCUGUUUCCCCGCCACACCCAGUGAAGGGCAUGGGGUUCCGCAGAGGGAAAGGCCCGGCCGGACCAGUGCACGCGGUGAGGCGGACCGGCCAGCCAGGCCCAAGGUUCAACUACGAGCUUUUUAACCACAACAACUUUAAUAUACGCUAUUGGAGCUGGAAUUACCGCGGCUGCUGGCACCAGACUUGCCCUCCAAUUGUUCCUCGUUAAGGGAUUUAAAUUGUACUCAUUCCGAUUACAAGACCCAAAAGAGCCCUGUAUCAGUAUUUAUUGUCACUACCUCCCCGUGUCGGGAUUGGGUAAUUUGCGCGCCUGCUGCCUUCCUUGGAUGUAGUAGCCGUUUCUCAGGCUCCUUCU
RNAcentral lists this ribosomal RNA (684 nucleotides) under fungal sp. K6. RNAcentral's name for it is "partial 18S rRNA". The record is from RNAcentral. Lineage: Eukaryota; Fungi.